Molecule: unclassified non-coding RNA, 516 nt
Filed under: Hevea brasiliensis (rubber tree)
Lineage: Eukaryota; Viridiplantae; Streptophyta; Magnoliopsida; Malpighiales; Euphorbiaceae
Source: RNAcentral
GAUCGAUAAUGCUUCUUUUGUUUAUGAAUGAAUAUAUAGAAACAGAUUAUAUAUAUAUAUUUGCAUUCUUUUUUUGCAGUUUUUCAUUUUUGUUGUUUAUUUGCGAAGGGUAUUAAAAUUUGAGAGAAAAACUUAUAUAUACUUAUUCUAUUAUUGGUUAAAGAUGAGUAUGUAAAUUUUGUUUAUUUUAUAUAUGAUUUUUCUAUUGGGUUAUGAUGUUUUGGACCUUUUCAGAAAUUUAAUUGAUUGCCUGUCGAUGAGAGGGACUUGCCAAGGUCACCACCAAUGGAAGGCGGACGUGUGGUGUUUGCUUGCUCAUACUGGCUGGCUGGCUGCUGCACCUUUAAUUUUUUACCUAUCCUCAUCAUACCCAUAAUGAGUUGAUGCAUAAAAGGAUUUUUUAGGUGCAUUCAACCUAAAGCAACAUGUAAUAUUAGUUUUUGGGUACUCACAGGCUGUGAUCUUUUCAUCUUUUUGACAAGUGAAAAAAAAAAUGUGGGUGACACAAAAAACAAG